AAAGUACCUGGACUUCUAUGCCCAUGCUUCUAGCAGCCAGCCUCCUAAAAUACCUCUAGUUGAAGCCAAAGUUAGAAUCCUUCUAUGAAACUACAGGAUUAAAAUGGGAUGGUUACAUGACCCAGGCUUGACCAAUCAGAUCAUCCAAACCCUUUGCCACAGUGAUUGGUCCAGGGAUACAUGCAUGAGCCAGCUCAGCCAGACCCAGAGCCCCAACCCUGGUACACCAGUUAAGAAGGCCACAUUUACAGGAAAGAAGAAAAACUGUUCUGCCCAGUUCCUGGCUAUUACACCACUGAGGGCUUUUCUUGUCUCUAACUUUCAGAGUGCAAGUCCAUUUCACUUACAGAUUCCCUCAUCUGG
RNAcentral lists this non-coding RNA (363 nucleotides) under Pongo abelii (Sumatran orangutan). Lineage: Eukaryota; Metazoa; Chordata; Mammalia; Primates; Hominidae. The record is from RNAcentral.